Molecule: ribosomal RNA, 560 nt
Filed under: Halomonas sp. NH88-54
Lineage: Bacteria; Pseudomonadati; Pseudomonadota; Gammaproteobacteria; Oceanospirillales; Halomonadaceae
Description: bacterial SSU rRNA
Rfam family: Bacterial small subunit ribosomal RNA
Source: RNAcentral
AUGCAUGGGAGUGUGCGCGGUAGUGGGGGAUAACCUGGGGAAACCCAGGCUAAUACCGCAUACGUCCUACGGGAGAAAGGGGGCUUCGGCUCCCGCUAUCGGAUGAGCCUAUGUCGGAUUAGCUAGUUGGUGAGGUAACGGCUCACCAAGGCCACGAUCCGUAGCUGGUCUGAGAGGAUGAUCAGCCACAUCGGGACUGAGACACGGCCCGAACUCCUACGGGAGGCAGCAGUGGGGAAUAUUGGACAAUGGGGGGAACCCUGAUCCAGCCAUGCCGCGUGUGUGAAGAAGGCCCUCGGGUUGUAAAGCACUUUCAGCGAGGAAGAACGCCUAGCGGUUAAUACCCGCUAGGAAAGACAUCACUCGCAGAAGAAGCACCGGCUAACUCCGUGCCAGCAGCCGCGGUAAUACGGAGGGUGCAAGCGUUAAUCGGAAUUACUGGGCGUAAAGCGCGCGUAGGUGGCUUGAUAAGCCGGUUGUGAAAGCCCCGGGCUCAACCUGGGAACGGCAUCCGGAACUGUCAAGCUAGAGUGCAGGAGAGGAAGGUAGAAUUCCCGGUG